CCUACGGGCGGCACCAGUGGGAAUAUUGCACAAUGGGCGCAAGCCUGAUGCAGCCAUGCCGCGUGUAUGAAGAAGGCCUUCGGGUUGUAAAGUACUUUCAGCGGGGAGGAAGGUGUUGUGGUUAAUAACCACAGCAAUUGACGUUACCCGCAGAAGAAGCACCGGCUAACUCCGUGCCAGCAGCCGCGGUAAUACGGAGGGUGCAAGCGUUAAUCGGAAUUACUGGGCGUAAAGCGCACGCAGGCGGUCUGUCAAGUCGGAUGUGAAAUCCCCGGGCUCAACCUGGGAACUGCAUUCGAAACUGGCAGGCUAGAGUCUUGUAGAGGGGGGUAGAAUUCCAGGUGCAGCGGUGAAAUGCGUAGAGAUCUGGAGGAAUACCGGUGGCGAAGGCGGCCCCCUGGACAAAGACUGACGCUCAGGUGCGAAGGCGUGGGGAGCAAACAGGAUUAGAUACCCCGGUAGUC
RNAcentral lists this ribosomal RNA (464 nucleotides) under uncultured bacterium. RNAcentral describes it as "bacterial SSU rRNA". It matches the Rfam family "Bacterial small subunit ribosomal RNA", at positions 338 to 795 of the family's 1533-position model. The record is from RNAcentral.